UACGGAGGGGACUAGCGUUGUUCGGAAUUACUGGGCGUAAAGCGCACGUAGGCGGAUCGAUCAGUCAGGGGUGAAAUCCCAGAGCUCAACUCUGGAACUGCCUUUGAUACUGUCGAUCUGGAGUAUGGAAGAGGUGAGUGGAAUUCCGAGUGUAGAGGUGAAAUUCGUAGAUAUUCGGAGGAACACCAGUGGCGAAGGCGGCUCACUGGUCCAUUACUGACGCUGAGGUGCGAAAGCGUGGGGAGCAAACAGG
This 253-nucleotide ribosomal RNA is filed under the name uncultured bacterium. Its description in RNAcentral is "partial 16S ribosomal RNA". It matches the Rfam family "Bacterial small subunit ribosomal RNA", at positions 524 to 776 of the family's 1533-position model. The record is from RNAcentral.